RNAcentral lists this ribosomal RNA (495 nucleotides) under uncultured bacterium. Its description in RNAcentral is "partial 16S ribosomal RNA". It matches the Rfam family "Bacterial small subunit ribosomal RNA", at positions 28 to 507 of the family's 1533-position model. The record is from RNAcentral.
GACGAACGCUGGCGGCGUGCCUAAUACAUGCAAGUAGAACGCUGAAGGAGGAGCUUGCUUCUCUGGGUGAGUUGCGAACGGGUGAGUAACGCGUAGGUAACCUGCCUGGUAGCGGGGGAUAACUAUUGGAAACGAUAGCUAAUACCGCAUAAUAGUAGAUGUUGCAUGACAUUUGCUUAAAAGGUGCAAUUGCAUCACUACCAGAUGGACCUGCGUUGUAUUAGCUAGUUGGUGGGGUAACGGCUCACCAAGGCGACGAUACAUAGCCGACCGGAGAGGGGGAGCGGCCACACUGGGACUGAGACAGGCCCCAGACUCCUACGGGAGGCAGCAGUAGGGAAUCUUCGGCAAUGGACGGAAGUCUGACCGAGCAACGCCGCGUGAGUGAAGAAGGUUUUCGGAUCGUAAAGCUCUGUUGUAAGAGAAGAACGCGUGUGAGAGUGGAAAGUUCACACUGUGACGGUAUCUUACCAGAAAGGGACGGCUAACUACGUG